Sapajus apella (tufted capuchin) is the source of this 611-nucleotide long non-coding RNA. RefSeq lists it as uncharacterized. The record is from RefSeq and is a predicted model, not a curated record. Lineage: Eukaryota; Metazoa; Chordata; Mammalia; Primates; Cebidae. The transcript is spliced from 3 exons.
GCAUUUAUGGUUUGUAUUUGGGUGUCUGUCCCCUCCAAAUCUCAUGUUGAAAUGUAAUCCCCAGUGUUGUAGGUGGGGCAUAGUGGGAAUUUUCUGGGUUAUGAAGGCAGAUCCCUCAUGAAUGGCUUGGUGUCCUCCCUGCAGUAAUGAGUUCAUGAGAGAUCUGGCUGUUUAAAAAAGGCUGGCACCUCUGCCUCUCUCUCUCUCACUCCCUCUCUCACCAUGUGACAUGGCCACAACUGUAAGCUUCCUGAGGCCCUCACCAGAAGCAGAUACCAGCACCGUAUUUCUUAUAUAGACUACAGAACCAUGAGCCAAAUAAACCUCUUUUCUUUACAAAUUACCCAGCCUCGACCAUUCCUUUACAGCAACACAGACUAACACAAAGUUGUUUGAUAAAAUGUUGCCUUUUCAUAAAUGUAUGUGUCUAUAGGGUCAUGACAUAAAAUAAGUCUCUUACUUUGUCAAAAAAAUUUUGAAAGUCACUAGAUAACAAGAUAUCUAAGAUUCCUUCUAGUGCUUUUUAAAAAAACUAACAAAAAUAUGUAUUAACAGUUUAAACUACUUUUUAUUUAAAAAAAACCUUAAACAUUAAACUCUUAAUGAUUUAG